AACGAACGCUGGCGGCAUGCCUAACACAUGCAAGUCGAACGAGACCUUCGGGUCUAGUGGCGCACGGGUGCGUAACGCGUGGGAAUCUGCCCUUGGGUUCGGAAUAACAGUUGGAAACGACUGCUAAUACCGGAUGAUGACGUAAGUCCAAAGAUUUAUCGCCCAAGGAUGAGCCCGCGUAGGAUUAGCUAGUUGGUGAGGUAAAGGCUCACCAAGGCGACGAUCCUUAGCUGGUCUGAGAGGAUGAGCAGCCACACUGGGACUGAGACACGGCCCAGACUCCUACGGGAGGCAGCAGUGGGGAAUAUUGGACAAUGGGCGAAAGCCUGAUCCAGCAAUGCCGCGUGAGUGAUGAAGGCCUUAGGGUUGUAAAGCUCUUUUACCCGGGAUGAUAAUGACAGUACCGGGAGAAUAAGCUCCGGCUAACUCCGUG
RNAcentral lists this ribosomal RNA (433 nucleotides) under uncultured bacterium. RNAcentral describes it as "partial 16S ribosomal RNA". It matches the Rfam family "Bacterial small subunit ribosomal RNA", at positions 29 to 507 of the family's 1533-position model. The record is from RNAcentral.